AGAGACACUAGGGCUUACGUGGUUCGGAUAUGAAUAUCCUACGUCCACGGCAGAAGAGAUGAAGAUUUUAUUGAUCAAGAACAAUCACUCACAAUUCACAGACUCAAGAUUGAGUGUUACAGCCACAUCAUGCUGUCAACAACCACUCUCUAGCUCUCUGUAACUAACAAGACUCACAGCUCAACAAAGAAGAAGAAUUCAUCUGUGAUAAUGAGCUGACUCACAACAUAUAUACUUCACACACAUACACACACCGAGGGUGAUAACUAACACUACAACUAACUCCUCAAAGUAUUAGCUAUUUGCAGUCAGAUCCCUCUUGUAUGAAGAAAAUAUAUAAGUUGAAGCCACAUACUUCACA
Molecule: long non-coding RNA, 361 nt
Filed under: Salvia miltiorrhiza (redroot sage)
Lineage: Eukaryota; Viridiplantae; Streptophyta; Magnoliopsida; Lamiales; Lamiaceae
Description: long non-coding RNA (SMIL_LNC012809)
Source: RNAcentral